UACGUAGGGUCCGAGCGUUGUCCGGAUUUAUUGGGCGUAAAGAGCUCGUAGGCGGUUCCGUAAGUCAGAUGUGAAAACUCAGGGCUCAACCCGGAGACGCCAUCUGAUACUGCGGUGACUGGAGUCUGGUAGGGGAACACGGAAUUCCUGGUGUAGCGGUGAAAUGCGCAGAUAUCAGGAGGAACACCAAUAGCGAAGGCAGCUCGCUGGGACGGUACUGACGCUAAGGCGCGAAAGCGUGGGGAGCGAACAGG
This 254-nucleotide ribosomal RNA is filed under the name uncultured bacterium. RNAcentral describes it as "partial 16S ribosomal RNA". It matches the Rfam family "Bacterial small subunit ribosomal RNA", at positions 524 to 776 of the family's 1533-position model. The record is from RNAcentral.